UUUCACAGCUGGGAGAAGGUUCUUAUGCUGGAAUGCAGUGUUUUCCUUCACUUCUCAUUUAAACCAAAAAGUUCUAUUUUGGUCUCAUCCAUCAAAUUUUUUUCCCAAUAGUCUUCUGGCCUGUUCACGUGAUCUUUAGCAAACUGCAGAAGGGCAGCAAUGUUCUUUUUGGAGAGCAGUGACUUUCUCCUUGCAGCCCUGCCAUGCACAGCAUUGUUGACUAGUACAAGCCUUGCUCUUGGAGUGAUCUUUGUUGGUCUCCACUCCUGGGGAGGGGAACAAUGGCCUUGAAUUACCUCUGUUCGUACACAGUCUAUCUGACUGUGGAUUGGUGGAGUCCAAACUCUUUAGAGACGGUUUUGUAACCUUUUCCAGCAACUCUUUUCCUGAGGUCCUCAGAAAUCUCCUUAGUUCGUGCUUUGUAUGUACUUCCACACCAUGUAUUGUUAAGAUCAGACUCUGAUAGAUCCAUGUUCUUUAAAUAAAACAGGAUGCUCACUCACUCACUCACACCUGAUCAUCAUCCCAUUGUUCGAAAACACCUGACUCUAAUGUCAUCUUCAAAUGAACUGCUAAUCCUAGACGUUCACAUACUUUCCACUCACAGAGAUGUAAUAUAGGAUCAUUUCCCUCGAUAAGUAAAAGUACAAUUUGUCUCAUUUGUUUAAUUGGGUUGUCUUUAUCUACUUUUAGGACUUGUGUGAAAAUCUGAUGAUGUUCACAAACCUUCAAGCAGCACUGUAAAUAUAUAUAUAUAUAUAUUUUAAAUAAUUUUGUUUUACUAAUUGAUUUUUGGUUGCUCUACAGGAUGGUUAAAGUUUGGGACUAAACAAUGUCCAGACUUUGUCCUGAAUUUGUUUUCAUGAUGCUGUUUGUUUAGAAAUGUUCUGUAAUACACUCUGGGUUCUUCCAGGAACAGGUGUAUUUAUAAUGAAAUCAUGUGACACUUUAAUUGCACGCAGGUCGACAUCAUUUAACUAAUUAAUGAUGUCCAAUGCAACUCCCCCCUCCCCCCACGCCUCCACAUUUUGUGUAGAUUAUUAAUAUCAUAAAAUCCCACUUAUGUCCAUUUCACUUCCAGGUUGUUACACUAUGACCUGUGGUGGACAUCUGUGUAGUUCUGAGAGAUUUCUAUUAGUGUACUGACAAUGCAGAUACUGAUAGUUUCACCAAAAGCAUAACAGAGACUAUUUAAAAAUGUGAUUUAUUUUUCUUUUUUAUUUAACAAAGGCUUUUAACUUCCUGUGUCAACAAACCCAGAACUACAAAACAAGAGGUUCAGCAGACACGUCCGUUUCGAACAUCCAGUAACAUUUAAAUUAAUUCUUAAAACUCAGUGUAGUGUUUUUUCAGUUACAGAGGAGGACGUUCACUCAGUGUGGAUUCUUACUGAAAAAUGGACACCGUGCUGGACACCUUGAGAGAAAAACUACACGAGGAAACUGAAAACAUUUUAGAAAUAGUAAAACAAGAGCUCAAACAACGAGAAGAGGAGAUUGAGCGUAAAAGACUGAAACUGGAAAAGAAAAAGGAAAAGAUUGAGAGGAUGAAACAAGAACUACAAGGAGAGAUAGAGCAACUGUGAGAAGAAAUAGAAGAGAAAGAUGGAGAGAUAGAGCAACUGAAAGAGAAACUAGAAAAUAAAGAGGAAAAUAUUGACAGAAAGAGACAGAAGCUGGAAAACAGAGAUAAUGAUUUAGAAGAACAAAGACAAGAACUGGAAGAGAAAGAUGAAACAAUAAACGAACUGCGAGAAGAAAUAGAAAAGAAAGAUGAAGAGAUAGAGCAACUGCAAGAAGAAAUAGAAGAGAAAGAUGAAGAGAUAGAGCAACUGAAAGAGGAACUAGAAAAUAAAGAUGGAGAGAUAGAGAGAAUGAAACAGGAACUAGAGGAGAAGGUUGGGGAGAUAUGUGGUAUAUUUGAUUAUUAAUGUAAUGUGAUGCUAAUUCACAUUCUCACCAGUGCAGAUUUUUAAGAACUCCUGAAGAAACGGGUGUGUACAGUUCUGAUUAGUUAAGAUUAGGGUCAAAAUGAGGAUAAUUUGUUUUUAGAUUGAUUAGUAAAAAUGGGCUAAGUCUCAUUCUCACAGCAGGAUGUGUGUGCGAGAGAGAAUCCAUACUGCACAUGUACUACUUCCAUUCUGUCUACAGGAGAAUAAAUAAUUCCCCAGUAAUUUGGGAA
Molecule: long non-coding RNA, 2181 nt
Organism: Ictalurus punctatus (channel catfish)
Lineage: Eukaryota; Metazoa; Chordata; Actinopteri; Siluriformes; Ictaluridae
Exons: 2
Source: RefSeq, a predicted model, not a curated record